UUAAGCCUACGGGGGGCAGCAGUGGGGAAUAUUGGGCAAUGGGCGCAAGCCUGACCCAGCAACGCCGCGUGAAGGAAGAAGGCUUUCGGGUUGUAAACUUCUUUUGUCAGGGAAGAGUAGAAGACGGUACCUGACGAAUAAGCCACGGCUAACUACGUGCCAGCAGCCGCGGUAAUACGUAGGGGACAAGCGUUAUCCGGAUUUAUUGGGUUUAAAGGGUGCGUAGGCGGAAUGCCAAGUCAGCGGUAAAAUCGCGGGGCUCAACCUCGCUCCGCCGUUGAAACUGGCGUUCUUGAGUGGGCGAG
RNAcentral lists this ribosomal RNA (305 nucleotides) under uncultured bacterium. RNAcentral describes it as "bacterial SSU rRNA". It matches the Rfam family "Bacterial small subunit ribosomal RNA", at positions 333 to 654 of the family's 1533-position model. The record is from RNAcentral.